GGUUGGUAAGACACAGGGAUUGCCCCAGUAACGGCGAGUGAAGCGGCAACAGCUCAAAUUUGAAAUCUGGCUCCUAGAGUCCGAGUUGUAAUUUGUAGAGGAUGCUUUUGAUGCGGUGCCUUCCGAGUUCCCUGGAACGGGACGCCAUAGAGGGUGAGAGCCCCGUCUGGUCGGAUGCCAAAUCUCUGUAAAGCUCCUUCGACGAGUCGAGUAGUUUGGGAAUGCUGCUCUAAAUGGGAGGUAUAUGUCUUCUAAAGCUAAAUAUUGGCCAGAGACCGAUAGCGCACAAGUAGAGUGAUCGAAAGAUGAAAAGCACUUUGAAAAGAGGGUUAAAUAGUACGUGAAAUUGUUGAAAGGGAAGCGCCUAUGACCAGACUUGGGCCCGGUGAAUCAUCCAGCGUUCUCGCUGGUGCACUUUGCCGGGCACAGGCCAGCAUCAGUUUGUCUUGGGGGAAAAAGGCUUUGGGAACGUGGCUCCCUCGGGAGUGUUAUAGACCAUUGCAUAAUACCCUGGGACGGACUGAGGUUCGCGCAUCUGCAAGGAUGCUGGCGUAAUGGUCAUCAGCGACCCGUCUUGAAACACGGACCAAGGAGUCGUCUUCGUAUGCGAGUGUUCGGGUGUAAAACCCCUACGCGUAAUGAAAGUGAACGCAGGUGAGAGCUUCGGCGCAUCAUCGACCGAUCCUGAUGUUCUCGGAUGGAUUUGAGUAAGAGCAUACGGGGCCGGACCCGAAAGAAGGUGAACUAUUCCUGUAUAGGGUGAAGCCAGAGGAAACUCUGGUGGAGGCUCGCAGCGGUUCUGACGUGCGAAUCGAUCGUCAAAUAUGGGAAUGGGGGCGAAAGACUAAUCGAACCUUCUAUUAGCUGGUUUCCUGCCGAAGUUCCCUCGGGGAAAAGGAAAACACC
This 906-nucleotide ribosomal RNA is filed under the name Simplicillium sp. RNAcentral's name for it is "partial large subunit ribosomal RNA". It matches the Rfam family "Eukaryotic large subunit ribosomal RNA", at positions 52 to 992 of the family's 3401-position model. Lineage: Eukaryota; Fungi; Ascomycota; Sordariomycetes; Hypocreales; Cordycipitaceae. The record is from RNAcentral.